UGGGGAAUUUUGGACAAUGGGCGCAAGCCUGAUCCAGCAAUGCCGCGUGAGUGAAGAAGGCCUUCGGGUUGUAAAGCUCUUUUGUCAGGGAAGAAACGGCUGUGGCUAAUAUCCACGGCUAAUGACGGUACCUGAAGAAUAAGCACCGGCUAACUACGUGCCAGCAGCCGCGGUAAUACGUAGGGUGCAAGCGUUAAUCGGAAUUACUGGGCGUAAAGCGUGCGCAGGCGGUUUUGUAAGUCUGUCGUGAAAUCCCCGGGCUCAACCUGGGAAUUGCGAUGGAGACUGCAAGGCUAGAAUCUGGCAGAGGGGGGUAGAAUUCCACGUGUAGCAGUGAAAUGCGUAGAGAUGUGGAGGAACACCGAUGGCGAAGGCAGCCCCCUGGGUCAAGAUUGACGCUCAUGCACGAAAGCGUGGGGAGCAAACAGGAUUAGAUACCCUGGUAGUCCACGCCCUAAACGAUGUCUACUAGUUGUCGGGUUUUAAUUAACUUGGUAACGCAGCUAACGCGUGAAGUAGACCGCCUGGAG
Molecule: ribosomal RNA, 530 nt
Filed under: uncultured beta proteobacterium
Lineage: Bacteria; Pseudomonadati; Pseudomonadota; Betaproteobacteria
Description: SSU rRNA
Rfam family: Bacterial small subunit ribosomal RNA
Source: RNAcentral